Molecule: ribosomal RNA, 824 nt
Filed under: Striatibotrys rhabdosporus
Lineage: Eukaryota; Fungi; Ascomycota; Sordariomycetes; Hypocreales; Stachybotryaceae
Description: eukaryotic LSU rRNA
Rfam family: Eukaryotic large subunit ribosomal RNA
Source: RNAcentral
AUUGCCUCAGUAACGGCGAGUGAAGCGGCAACAGCUCAAAUUUGAAAUCUGGCCCCAGGCCCGAGUUGUAAUUUGCAGAGGAUGCUUUUGGCGCGGUGCCUUCCGAGUUCCCUGGAACGGGACGCCAUAGAGGGUGAGAGCCCCGUCUGGUUGGACACCAAGCCUUUGUAAAGCUCCUUCGACGAGUCGAGUAGUUUGGGAAUGCUGCUCUAAAUGGGAGGUACAUGUCUUCUAAAGCUAAAUACCGGCCAGAGACCGAUAGCGCACAAGUAGAGUGAUCGAAAGAUGAAAAGCACUUUGGAAAGAGAGUUAAACAGCACGUGAAAUUGUUAAAAGGGAAGCGUUUAUGACCAGACGUGGGCCGGUUAAUCAUCCAGCGUUCUCGCUGGUGCACUUUGCCGGUCCAGGCCAGCAUCAGUUCGUUGCGGGGGAUAAAGGCUUUGGGAAUGUAGCUCCUCGGAGUGUUAUAGCCCUCUGCGUAAUACCCUGCGGCGGACUGAGGUUCGCGCUCUGCAAGGAUGCUGGCGUAAUGGUCAUCAACGACCCGUCUUGAAACACGGACCAAGGAGUCGUCUUCGUAUGCGAGUGUUCGGGUGUAAAACCCCUACGCGAAAUGAAAGUGAACGCAGGUGAGAGCUUCGGCGCAUCAUCGACCGAUCCUGAUGUUCUCGGAUGGAUUUGAGUAAGAGCAUACGGGGCCGGACCCGAAAGAAGGUGAACUAUGCCUGUAUAGGGUGAAGCCAGAGGAAACUCUGGUGGAGGCUCGCAGCGGUUCUGACGUGCAAAUCGAUCGUCAAAUAUGGGCAUGGGGGCGAAAGACUAAU